RNAcentral lists this unclassified non-coding RNA (176 nucleotides) under fungal sp. RNAcentral describes it as "partial internal transcribed spacer region". The stretch from base 1 to 46 matches the Rfam family "Eukaryotic small subunit ribosomal RNA", at positions 1786 to 1831 of the family's 1831-position model. Lineage: Eukaryota; Fungi. The record is from RNAcentral.
AAGUCGUAACAAGGUUUCCGUAGGUGAACCUGCGGAAGGAUCAUUAACGAAGAAUCCGGGCUUCGGCUCGCUCUCGUCUUCCACCCUGUGCAUCGUGACCCUUUUUUGCGCUCAAAAGUCGAGGAUGAUACCAAGUAAAAAAGGCACAAAAUGAAGCAACGGAUCUCUUGGCUCUC